This 553-nucleotide ribosomal RNA is filed under the name Parameletus columbiae. RNAcentral's name for it is "partial 16S ribosomal RNA". It matches the Rfam family "Bacterial large subunit ribosomal RNA", at positions 1796 to 2624 of the family's 2925-position model. The record is from RNAcentral. Lineage: Eukaryota; Metazoa; Arthropoda; Insecta; Ephemeroptera; Siphlonuridae.
UCGCCUGUUUAUCAAAAACAUCGCCUUUUGAAAAAAAUAGAAGGUCUAGCCUGCCCACUGAAAUUUAAAGGGCCGCGGUAUUUUGACCGUGCAAAGGUAGCAUAAUCAUUAGUCUUCUAAUUAAAGGCUGGUAUGAAUGGUUGGACGAGGUGUUGACUGUCUCAUUAAAAUUAAAUUAGAACUUAACUUUUUAGUCAAAAGGCUAAAAUUGUAUUGGAGGACGAGAAGACCCUAUAGAGCUUGAUAUUUGAAGUGUUUAGUCUUUUUAGUCGGAAUUUGACUUAAUUUUAAGAAUAUUUCGUUGGGGUGACGGGAAGAUAAUAUAAACUCUUUCUUAAAUUAUACAUUGAUGUAUGAUUAAAUGAUCCAUUAUUAGUGAUUAUAAGACUAAGUUACCUUAGGGAUAACAGCGUAAUCUUUUUCAAGAGUUCUAAUCGACAAAAAGGGUUGCGACCUCGAUGUUGGAUUAAGGGUUAUUUUUGGGUGUAGAAGUUCAAAGUUUAGGUCUGUUCGACCUUUGAAUCCUUACAUGAUCUGAGUUCAAAACCGGAGA